This 1741-nucleotide long non-coding RNA is filed under the name Sus scrofa (pig). RNAcentral describes it as "lncRNA (ENSSSCG00035024170.1)". The record is from RNAcentral. Lineage: Eukaryota; Metazoa; Chordata; Mammalia; Artiodactyla; Suidae.
CUGCCUCCCCGGGAGACUCUCCAGGAUUAGCAGGUGGAUCUGACCCGGGCUCCUUUCAAACUGUGGCUUCUACCCUGGGUCUCAGAGUGUGUGCACCUUUUAAGGGCGGCGCUCCUAUUUCCCACAGCCCUCUGGGUCCCCCGAACAUAAGCACCUCUGGCCUUCAGAGAUCGAUCUGCUGGGGGCUCAUCUUCCCGUUGCGGGACCCCGGGCUGCAGAGCCUGGUGUGGGGCCCAGACACCUUGCUCCUUGGGGGGAACCUCUGCAAUUGCAAUCAUUCUCCCAUUUGUGAGUCGCCCCCUCCGGGCUGGGGAUGGGUCUUGCCUGUUCCGUGGCUCUGCCUCUCCUUCUCUUUAGUGCCGACCUCCUCUGCUGGAUUCCAGUCUUUCUCAUCCAUGGUUGAUCUGCUACUAGUUGGAACUUUGGGGUGCCCGUGGGAGGAGGUGAGCUCAGAGCUGUCCAUCGUCACCACCCUGGACCAGAAUCUCGGAAAAGGCCUCCUCCUCCGGGAAGCCCUCCCACCCCCACCCCAGCCCCGCGGACCGUCACCGUCGCCCAGGUUCCACCCCACGUCUUCUCCUCAGGGCUCUGUGCCCCUGCUGCUGCCUCUGAGGCACCUGGUGGCCGGGACACGGCAGGGCCAGCGGGACCACUGACGACUCGUGUCAAGCCUCAUGCUCGGGGCCUUCUGUGCCCGUUAACGAAGGAACGGUUACGGAUGGUGUGGUAGAAGUGGGAUGUGGGAAAGCCAGGGACGAGGUAGCCAAAAAGGCAGUGACAGAGCCGGGUCAAAGGGCAGCUAUUCGGAACCAGCCCAGGUCUGCAGCUUCCCUGCCAAGCGACCUUCAGCAAGGCCCUGGCUCUUUCCGAGGGUCAGUUUCCUCAUCUGUGAAAAGGGGGAGCCGGCUGAUGUAUAGGGAGAGGCAAGGGCCAUGGCAGCACCAAAACGCUCCCUGUUCGGAUGCGUGUCAUCAGAGGAUUUCGCGGCGCUGAUGAGCUGACAGGUCGCUAGGGGACGGUGUGUGCGCAGUGGCCUGCGGCUGCCUACAACAUUCGCCCUAAUUGAGGGCCUGGCCCCCAGCCAGGUGGGAAACAGUUUCCAUGGGGCCGCUCAGGCCGGAUGGAUGAGGACCAAGAGGCAACUCUCAAGCCGGAGGUGAGAGAGGGCACCUGGGCCGUGGGAAGUGGCCAGCGGCCUGAGAGCCCUCGCCUUUCUGCAGUUGCCCGUAGGCUGCCUCCCUCUUGGACCCAAGUGGGUUUUCUCUAGGCCUCAGGGUUUGUCCAGCGCAGAGGUUGGGCUACACCCACAAGUGGCUUAAGAGGUAGAAGGCAGGCUGGGGGCGGGGGUGGGCCCAGGGCACCUGCUUCUCCAAGACAUCUUGGGGCAGGUGGGCUUGGCCCAGCCCGGACAGCCGGCUCCCCAGGCCUGGGCUCCUGGGGAGGACCCUGCAGCAGCUGCUAGAGCCUGGGCUCUGUGUCUCGUCCCAGUCUGGGGCUUCUAAAUUUAACCUGCCGUCAGCUAGAGGGGCUGGAGGGCUUCCACAGGGUGAUCAGAUGCCACUCGGAAUCCACUUUACUCAUGACCCCCUGCCCUCUGCACACAUUCCCCUCCAAGCACUACCCCCAAAUGCAGGCAGCCGUCCUCGCAUCCUUGCAUGUCUCCAGGGUAAAGAUUGAAGACCCGAGCCGCCCUGGAUCCUGAUCAGAUCCAGCUCACUUUCUUCCUGCCAUUGGCCAGGGU